Non-coding RNA from Phoenix dactylifera (date palm), 602 nucleotides. Lineage: Eukaryota; Viridiplantae; Streptophyta; Magnoliopsida; Arecales; Arecaceae. The record is from RefSeq and is a predicted model, not a curated record.
GACAGUGAGAUCAGCGAUCGCAAGAACGCUUGCUAUGCUGACAUCGACAGUGGGCUGUGGGGCGAGCGCUGCAGAUCUUCGAUGAUCGCCAAGGAGAGCUGCGCCUUAAAAUGCGUUUCCCCCCUCUGUUACGAGCUCAUUUACGAGAGCGACCCGCUGGAAGAAGGAGAGAGAGACUAUAGGGCUGUGGAGUUCAAGUACUGCAUGCAGAAAGUCCGGAUGGAUGCACGGUAGCAUGCGCUGCAGGGGAUGAGACACUUUUGGACUUUGGAAUGUCUUUGGAAGUGCGAAAGAGCCAAAACCUACUGCCAAAACAGCAAAAUACGGGUCCUUUGGUUACUUUUAAUUAGAUUUAUUAGGUGAAGGAUUGGAUGGGUUGGAGGUUUAGAAAAGGAGUGUGAAGAGAGGUGAUUAAUCUCAUCAGUGACUCGGGUGUGGAGAUGGAGAAAAGUACUAGGUUAAGCGAUUUUUAUCAUUUCUUUCUUCGAACAUUUGGACGCUGGUCAUGUAUGCUCAAAACUAUGAACUCAGAGUAGUCAUCUUGUUGGAAAAUACUGUCUAGUAUUGUUUCUAAUGUGAUUCUUCCUACAGAUCAGCAUGAA